Molecule: long non-coding RNA, 745 nt
Organism: Onychostoma macrolepis
Lineage: Eukaryota; Metazoa; Chordata; Actinopteri; Cypriniformes; Cyprinidae
Exons: 5
Source: RefSeq, a predicted model, not a curated record
UCAAACAGAACAGAGAGCGGGAAGUAGACUACUUUUGCCUUUUAACAACAGAAAAGCUCUUUAGAGGGUGGAUUUUAAGUGUUAAUCUUGAAGACGACGAGAUUUAAAGCGGAGAGCGGGAAGAACGCCACAACCGGGACUUCGGCUUCUUUAUCGUCAGAGGAACUUCAUAAGUUUAAGAGAGGCUCUACUCAAAUUAUCAGACGAAGAGAGGAGGACAUUUAACGGUGAAGACUGUGUCUACUGUUGGGGAGGAUGCUAUUUCAUGCCCACGUGAAGACUUUGCAGGACCAAAACACGACAACCAUUAUUCCAGGAAAUUGGCCCAAUGCAUGCUGUAACUGCUUUAAGUUCAGGAAGAACCAGCCACACUAUAUUCCACUGUGCAGAUUUUGGGAACGUCUGACUGGACACAAGUCUUCAGUGAGAAGAGAAUCUUGAAAUUUGAGAAAAAAGAGAAAUUUGCUGAGCAGUUGAGGUGGAGGAUGGUGUUUUUUGAAAAUGUUAAAUAAAUGCAGGGAUGUUGUGUGAAAAGUGGUGGAAAAAAGUUUUCUAGUUUGGUUAAAUAAUGUAACAUUUUAGUGUAAAUGUAUUUUAUGUACUGUAACAUUUUAGUUUCAUUGUAUUGUGAAAUGUUUUGCAGCUUUUUUUUUUUUUUUCUAAAGGGGGCCCAAUCACAUUGAAGAGAUAUAUUUAUAUAAUAUUUUGUUAUACUAUGGGCUAUCUACAACAAUAAAAGAACCAA